GACCUGUGCUCAGUCGGCAGAGCACGAGACGCUUAAAUCUCAGGGUCGUGGGUUCGAAUCCUAAGUUGGACA
Molecule: non-coding RNA, 72 nt
Organism: Podarcis lilfordi (Lilford's wall lizard)
Lineage: Eukaryota; Metazoa; Chordata; Lepidosauria; Squamata; Lacertidae
Source: the annotation of a GenBank genome assembly